Long non-coding RNA from Plodia interpunctella (Indianmeal moth), 906 nucleotides. RefSeq lists it as uncharacterized. Lineage: Eukaryota; Metazoa; Arthropoda; Insecta; Lepidoptera; Pyralidae. The transcript has 2 exons. The record is from RefSeq and is a predicted model, not a curated record.
GCUACAUAAUAGUCAAAACUUAUGUAUGAAAGGGAAACAUGAAAAUUAUAAUAUUAUAAAAUUCGGGUUCUUUACCGUUGAAUAAAACAGUGUUUUAAAAUGUUGAAUUAUCAAAAGUCGUGGUGAGUUUAAAAUGCACUUCAAUGAUUAAAUUGCACAUUAAAUUGUAAAAAUAUUUGUAUAGUCGCAAGCUUCCAGCACGUUACCCUACUUGGAUUCUAAGUGGCAGUGAUAGGGGAGAAUUUCAUAUGAAUUUGGAGACGUUGAUGUGCCGUUAGCUGUAAAAUCAAGUAUAAAGUAAACCGGUCGAAUCGCAAGUUCUCCUAUUUGUGACCAGUUAACCGCCCUUCAGUUUUCUCACGGUCUAAAACUGAAGUCUUCAAAGUGUACUCAAAGGCGACAAAGAGCUGCUAAAUGUAAAGCUAAAAAACAAAUAUGUGUCGUCCUAUACGAAGUUAACCCUAUAGACGGUUUUUUGUAUUUAUAUUUUGGAUGGAAGUGGUUAAUUGAAUAUGUUGAAGAAGUGGUGGUCGAAAAUAAUAUACAUAUCCCAAUCGCAAAAUAGUGCAAUGUGAUAUCAAUAGUGUUCAAUAAUUAUAAUAAAGAUGAUUGUGAUUUGAAGCCUAUUCAAUAAUCCACUAAAUCCUUCUUAUUUUCUAUUAAACUCGCACCACAAUUGCGAAGAAGGUAUUUUAGUUGUAAUCUUCAAUAAUAUUGAAAAUUGGCGCUUUUUGCCUCCAUUGGCAAUGUUUGUUAACCCUAGUCUUACCCUAGUUGUACCAGAAGCGCCAACUGCGCCGAUCUUUUCGUAAUAUUCCCUAUUCUCUCGAAAUCAUUCGUGCCGACUGCAAUAGGAUUUGGUGUAUUUUACGGAAAUAUUUUAAUAAAUGGACUUUUUUACUUUUA